RNAcentral lists this unclassified non-coding RNA (332 nucleotides) under Lordhowea insularis. Its description in RNAcentral is "partial contains external transcribed spacer and 18S ribosomal RNA". The record is from RNAcentral. Lineage: Eukaryota; Viridiplantae; Streptophyta; Magnoliopsida; Asterales; Asteraceae.
GCUUGUUUCGUCUUGGGCGUAUUUCGGGUUUCUUGUGUUGCAUACCAAAUUGCUGGUACUGUUUUGGUUGAUCGAAGUCCCUUUUCAUCUUGUGUUGUURUACAUGGWGAACCUUGAAGCGGUCUCUAUGUUCCAUCAUGUUGAUGCAAAUGCAUUGAUGUUGUGGCCCAUUGAGUGUUGCUUGGUAUCCUUGAUACGGAACAUUAUAUGGGCAUGGGGUCUCUCAUGAACUCUUGUUUUGUCCUCUUUCAGUGUUCUUUGAAAUGACGGUUCAUGCGCGCCUAGGCUAGUACCUGCGCGAUGUUCUYUGUCAAAAAGGAAUGCUACCUGGU